CCUACUGGAGGCAGCAGUGGGGAAUAUUGGGCAAUGGGCGCAAGCCUGACCCAGCCACGCCGCGUGAAGGAAGACGGCUUUCGGGUUGUAAACUUCUUUUAUCAGGGACGAAGCAAGUGCCGGUACCUGCUGCCUACGCCACGGCUAACUACGUGCCCGCCGCCGCGGUAAUACGUCGGUGGCACGCGUUAUCCGGAUUUACUGGGUGUAAAGGGCGUGUAGGCGGGAGUGCAAGUCAGAUGUGAAAACUAUGGGCUCAACACGUACCCUGCAUUUGAAACUGUACUUCUUGAGUGCGGGAGAGGCAAGAGGAAGGCGGGGUGUAGCGGUGAAAUGCGUAGAUAUACGGAGGAACACCAGUGGCGAAGGCGGAUUGCUGGACAGUAACUGACGCUGAGGCGCGAAAGCGUGUGGAGCAAACAGGAUUAGAUACCCGUGUAGUC
RNAcentral lists this ribosomal RNA (443 nucleotides) under uncultured bacterium. Its description in RNAcentral is "partial 16S ribosomal RNA". It matches the Rfam family "Bacterial small subunit ribosomal RNA", at positions 338 to 795 of the family's 1533-position model. The record is from RNAcentral.